AUUGAACGCUGGCGGCAUGCCUUACACAUGCAAGUCGAACGGCAGCACGGGAGCAAUCCUGGUGGCGAGUGGCGAACGGGUGAGUAAAGUAUCGGAACGUGCCCAGUCGUGGGGGAUAACGUAGCGAAAGUUACGCUAAUACCGCAUACGAUCUAUGGAUGAAAGCGGGGGAUCGCAAGCCCUCGCGCGAUUGGAGCGGCCGAUAUCAGAUUAGGUAGUUGGUGGGGUAAAGGACCACCAAGACGACGAUCUGGAGCUGGUCUGAGAGGACGGACGGCCAGACGGGGGCUGAGACAAGGGCCAGACUCCUACGGGAGGCCGCAGUGGGGAAUUUUGGACAAUGGGCUAAAGCCUGAUCCAGCCAUGCCGCGUGCAGGAUGAAGGCCUGCGGGUUGUAAACUGCUUUUGUACGGAACGAAAAGGUUUGGCCUAAUAAGCUGAGCUCAUGACGGUACCGUAAGAAUAAGCACCGGCUAACUACGUGCCAGCAGCCGCCGCGG
RNAcentral lists this ribosomal RNA (500 nucleotides) under uncultured bacterium. Its description in RNAcentral is "partial 16S ribosomal RNA". It matches the Rfam family "Bacterial small subunit ribosomal RNA", at positions 29 to 523 of the family's 1533-position model. The record is from RNAcentral.